Molecule: ribosomal RNA, 371 nt
Filed under: uncultured organism
Description: partial 16S ribosomal RNA
Rfam family: Bacterial small subunit ribosomal RNA
Source: RNAcentral
GUAGGAGGCAAGCGUUAUCCGGAUUUACUGGGCGUAAAGCGUGUGUAGGCGGUUUGGUCAGUCGGACGUGAAAGCUCCUGGCUCAACUAGGAGAGGCCGUUCGAAACUUCCAAACUUGAGGGCAGUAGAGGGAGGUGGAAUUCCGGGUGUAGCGGUGAAAUGCGUAGAUAUCCGGAGGAACACCAGUGGCGAAGGCGGCCUCCUGGACUGUCCCUGACGCUCAGACACGAAAGCUAGGGGAGCAAACGGGAUUAGACACCCCGGUAGUCCUAGCUGUAAACGAUGCAGACUUGGUGUUGGGAGUGUAAAAACUUUCAGUGCCGGAGCUAACGCGUUAAGUCUGCCGCCUGGGGACUACGACCGCAAGGUUA